GUUUAAAUAAUCAAAAUGUUCUAUCAAUAAGAUCCAGACAAAUUCUUAUCUGCUACUUCAAAAUCCGAGAUGGAGGAAGACACCACAGCCACCUUAAAUGUACUGUUGAGAGAUAUUGAUCAGAAAGUGCUAGAGUUGGAGGAAAUGGAAGAGAAGUGUGAAAGGGCAGAAGAAACUUGUCAUUGUCUCCAGCUUCAAAGUACUAAGA
Molecule: long non-coding RNA, 208 nt
Organism: Mytilus trossulus (common blue mussel)
Lineage: Eukaryota; Metazoa; Mollusca; Bivalvia; Mytilida; Mytilidae
Exons: 3
Source: RefSeq, a predicted model, not a curated record